Molecule: long non-coding RNA, 6139 nt
Organism: Chionomys nivalis (European snow vole)
Lineage: Eukaryota; Metazoa; Chordata; Mammalia; Rodentia; Cricetidae
Exons: 4
Source: RefSeq, a predicted model, not a curated record
CCGGAGUCUCCCCCAUCUUCCCACGCCUUACCCCGCGUCGCUGAGCCACGGCUAUCGGGUUUCCUUCUAAGCUCGCCGCCGGAAGUGUGUUCCUGAUUCCGGAGGACUCGUCCCACUCCCGAGGAGGAUGGUGACAGUAUCUGAACCUUGGGUUGGAAAAGCUGCUGAGUGCUCAGAGCUUGGUGAGCCCUUGUGGGAACUUGGAGGAUCAACCUGAGAGCAGUGCGGACAGACAAUGGAGGCCUGGUUUGUGAGGUGCAGAGUUAAAUAUUCUACAACAUGACAAUGUCCUGGAUCUUCAGUCUUGGAGCAAGCCAGUAAGCAGCACUCUUCCAUGGCUUCUGGUUCAGCCCCUGCCUCCUGGUUCCUGCCCUGAGUUCCUGCCUUGAUUUCCCUGGAGGAUGGACUUAGAAGCUGCAAGAGUUAUAAAAUCUAUCUUGAAUUUCCCAGUGUGAAGGUGUGACAUCCAUAGCAGAGGCUCAUAAGCCGUGACCUGAGGCAGACUGGAAAGCAAGUGGAGAUGAAAUGUGAGGGCUUUUCUCGUGCCCUCACGGCACCCUUGUGUUGUGAUAAAAAAAAAAAAGUGUACACACACACACACACACCUGGUGGCAUCUUCCAUGUACUGCAGUGAACUCAUUAUUGAGGCUCUUAAAUUCUGUUUGCAGGUACAGUGAAGUGCUUUAAGUGUGGACACUCAAGGGUUUCUGAGAUGACAGACAUUGCCGUUCCAACAAGUUAGUUUUCUUUGCAAAAGUAAACAGCCUGCCCAAGGGCAAGUUUAUGGUUACGGUGCCACUUACCGAAUGUCUGAGAAAUUCUUAUUUCCUGUUUAGACAAGUCGUGAGAAAGGUAAUUGAGAAACAGGUCUGUGCGGCCUGGAGAAAGGUGCUCCGAAGCACGGCCAGGGUGGGGGCAGGCUCUUACUCUCAGGUGAUAAUUGGUUAUACACCUCACCGGCUGCUGGCUCUUCACAGGUCACCCCUGUAGUAGAACUCAGGACAUUUCUGUCAUUUCCCAUCCAUUCUGAUGUUCUCCAUCCAGCAGGAGGAGGAUGAAGAAGAUGAGAUUGCCACCCCCAUCACACCUGGCGAGUUGUCAGAACACUGUUAGAGUUUAAGACACUGUUCCUUCUGAUUGAACCCCAAAGCAACCACCAUGGUAGAACUGUUGUCCUCAGGAGGCAUGUUUGUGUCCUUACCCCUGGUCCUGGGAUUGUGGCCAGUUCUUAGCAUCCUUGACUCUUCUCUCCCACUCUAUAGGCCACGGCACCCUGCUCUGUGCUAAGCAGUAAGGACUGUAAGUCACUUUAUCUUAUUUCAGGUAUUAAUAAAAAUGAUUUUAAAGCUAAAAUGAGCAGAUCACGGUAGCACACGCCUGUAAUCCAGCACUUGGGUGGCACAGGCAAGAGGAUCAGGUGUUAGUAAAAGGCUAGCCUGGGCUACACAAGACCCUAUCUCAAAACUACACGGUAAAAUAGAAAUUAGACAGAAAACACGAGGUUCAUUUUUUUUUUAAAUCCUCUUUUUUUAACAUUUUUUUAAUAUUUAUUUAUUAUGUAUACAAUAUUCUGUCUGCGUGUAUGCCUUCAGGCCAGAAGAGGGCACCAGACCUCAUUACAGAUGGUUGUGAGCCACCAUGUGGUUGCUGGGAAUUGAACUCCGGACCUUUGGAAGAGCAGGCAAUGCUCUUAACCGCUGAGCCAUCUCUCCAGCCCCACGAGGUUCAUUUUUGUUUUAAUUCUGUGUGUGGAUGUGUGCAAGUUAGUGCACUUGCUGGAUGAGGACAGAGGUGUUGGAUCCCCUGGAGCUGGAGUCCCAGGCAGUUGCGAGCUGCCUGAUGUGGGUGCUGGAAUCAAACUCAGGUCCUCUGCAAGGGCAAUAGACACUCCUAACCUCUGAGCCAUCUCUCCACCUUAUUUUUGAUAAAUACAUUUCUCUCUUUUAUUUUAUUUUUUUAAGAUUUAUCACAUGUAUUCUUCAUGCAGGAAUGCCUGCAUGACAGAAGAAGGUACCAGAUCUCAUUACAGAUGGUUGUGAGCCACCACAGAUUUGCUGUGGAUUGAACUCAGGACCUCUGGAAGAGCAGCCAGUGCUCUUCAGCACUGAGUCAUGUCAUCUUAACAGCCCUGGUAAAACCUUUAAAACAAACAAAAAAACAAAAACAAAAACCGGCGUUUCAAAAGAAUGGUGAGCGAUGCCUUGAGGAACUGUGAGAGAGGCCCCAGGGUAAAAGGCAGAAGGCCUUUUACCUCAGGUGCAUUUUAGUCCCUGGAUUAUUCCUGGACGUGACUUCCUGCCUCCUGUGUUAGACAUUUGCGUUCAGUUUAUAAGCCGUGUUUAUUCGUGUUGGAUUUGGGGACACAGCUAUAGAACCCAGUCUGGUCAGCGUACCCUGACUCUGGAUAUGGCCUCUGCCUUGCCUUCAUGUUUUCCCAGGUGUAAUCUAUAGCGCGUGCCAAGCUACUGUGUUUCAGUUGGUCUGUCCUUAGAGAGACUGGGAAAGGGCUGCUCGGUUAAUAUUUAGCAUGUGCUUCCUGAUAUCUGUGUGCAUGUUUUUCUGCACUUGUACAUCCUUCCUUGGUCCACUGCCUUCUUUGUUGCGUUUGUGUGUAAAGUACACUGAUCCUGAAGGGCGGCUGUCUACAGAUCGACUGCCAUCUCCCCAUCCUCUCUGGUCCUCGGAUCCCCGGAUCUCUGGAGUAGCAGGCAAGAAAGUCGACACCAGGUGUGGUGGUUUGAAACCCUCCCCUGGGCUUGAGCCUUGAGCACCUGGGCUCCCAUUGGUAGCUUUGUUGGAUGAGUCACAGGGUGUGGUGGUUUGAAUGAGAAUGACCCCCAAAGGCUCACAUUUGCAUCCUUGGUUCCCAGUUGGAACUGUUGGGAAGAAUUAGGAGAUCUCGUUAGAGGUGCUUCAAAAGACUCAAGCCAUUCCCAGGUGGUUCUCUCUGCUUCUUGCUCAUGCACCAGGACAUGGAAGGUCCUAGCUACUGCUCCAGCGUCAUGCCUGCUGCCCUGCUCCCCACCGUGAGGACCACAGACUCCAACCCUCUGGAGCCCUCUGAGCCUGAGAAAACAUAUUUGCUACAUCCUGACCCAACCACAGACUAAAGCUAGGACCAGCCUGACCCUCAGGUGUUCCUAAUGCUCUGUGGGACCCGUGACUCAGCUGCUGUUGCUCGGCUUCCGUGACUACAAGACUUUCUGCUCCCCUCCAUAUCAGUCAGAAGCAUGACGAUGACACGGCUGUGCCCUAUUCUUUUUUUUUUUUUUUGGUUUUUCGAGACAGGGUUUCUCUGUGGUUUUGGAGCCUGUCCUGGAACUAGCUCUUGUAGACCAGGCUGGUCUCGAACUCACAGAGAUCCACCUGCCUCUGCCUCCCGAGUGCUGGGAUUAAAGGCGUGCGCCACCACCGCCCGGCUCCUGUGCCCUAUUCUUAUUAAAAGUUCAUGCUUGCUAACCGCCACACCAACGGGAUGUACCAAACCUGUGGUUUUGACCUUUCUGUACCUCCUGCUCACUAACCUCGAGGUCAUCUUGUAGUCACGGGAGUGGGUGCCUCUGGCCAGGUCUGGAUGGCUCAAAAAAAUUUCAAAUUCAUAGAGUUCAUCUGCUCACCUUCUCUUGGGUGAGAACAGCCUGGCUACAACACCCCAGAUUAAAUGUUUUCUCUUAUAAACUGCCUUGGCCAUGGUGUCUCGUCGUGGCAAAAGAAAAACCCCUAGUACACUGAGGAAAGAAGAAAUCCCUUUUAUUGUGUUUUUAAAGACAAACAAAAAACAGAGAAAAAAAAACCCCACAAACUACAAAGCUGGGUUGUCACCCAGGAAAGCGCUGACCCCUGGGAAGCAGGCCGGUCACCAGGGACCAGAGCAAUGUCCAUGAAGGGGAGCCUGGGCUGCCCUCCUCGAGCUGGACAGCUACGUGACUAGAAACAAGAGUCAGCGUGUCUGCUUCAGAAGUCCACAAAAGACCAUGGUUCUUCGUGCAGCCCCUGGCGGUGAGGUGUCCCUGGGGUUUCCCCAGUUUCUGUCCCUGCCUCUCUGUAUUUCUCUUUAUAUCGUCUCAGCGAUCAUAUUUCUCUUCUAUACCAGUCGUGUUAUGUGGCUGCUUCGUAUGGUCUUAAUGGAUCACAUAUGAAAUGACCCUACUUACCCAUAAGGUGAUAGGCUCAGAGGUAUUAGGGUAGGAUUUUAAUGACUUGGGAACACAAAUCAGUCCCCAGUUGGCAGCCAAGCUGCAGGUCUGUCUCGUUGCCUCUGGUGAUACCGGGUGGAAGACGUUUCUAUUUUCCUAUCCUCCUCCCACCGGCCCAGCUUCCAUGUGCUUAGAUCCUGCCUGGCCAGCGGUACACAGCAGGACCGUUACACAUUCCAGCCCAGGUGACUGUAGCUCGGCCAGGUGGCCCUGAGACAGCUCCAAAAACCAUCUCCAGGAGGGGGUCCCUCCCUUGGAUCCCUGCCCCAGGGGCAUCUGAUGGAGUCACCUGUGUGACACCCUUGGAUGGGGGAAGAGCAAACUGAAAGCUAGCCACCUCACUGUAGGAGGGCUUGCGUGAAGGAAGGGCGGAGGUCGUCAAGUCACCGCCACACUCACACUCCUGGCGGAUCUCCUGCUGUGAGAGAGGACCCUCAGGAUCAGCUCCUUCCAACGGGCUAGAGAAGGUACUGACCAUCACCAGUAGGGGGCGCAAGAAGCCACCGUAUUUCUGAUUCUGCUCACUCCGGCUAAUGUGUUGGUGGCUUCCACACGGGGCUGCACCUGGGGGUGUGGGGUCUUUGGCCUGUCUGUGGAAAGACCUAAAGAGUCACCUCACCAGAGAAGACAGACAAACACCAAACACAUAAAAAUGUGCUUAACAGCUUCAGCCACUGGGACAAUGGAAAUCAAAACCAGAGUUAAAAAACCCCUGACAUACCAGAACGCCAAAUGUUGGCAGGAUGAGAAGUUAGAACUCUUCCUGAAGUGCUGACGGUGGGGAAAGUGUCACCACAGCCAGGGGACCACAGCCUGAAUGUCCAGCAGGAAAUGGAUCAAGAUGGUGGGGUCUACGCUGAAGUGAAAGGAAAACGCCACAUCAGUUAGGCUUACAGACUAACUAACUCCUGCUCUGUUGAAGGAGCCAGACUCAGGAGGGAGCAUGCAGCAUCGUGCCAUGUUUAUAAAAAUUUGGAAAAUUCAAAUUAUUUGGUAGUGGCAAAGGUUCACGGUUGGUUGAGGCUAGAGAGGAUGGAGAGGGGCCAUCCAUGGCAUGACCCAGGAGCUUAAGAAGCCCAGUGAGACAAUGAUGUGCUCAUGCAAGCUUUGAUCCCAUGGGUGAACAUGUGUCAAAUGUAUCUAGGUGCCCACCCCGAAAGUGUACACUAUACCUCUCAACUACACUUCAGUAGAGUUAUCAAAAAUUAAAAAAAAAAAUAGGCGUUGGGAAUCAUCAUAGAGAGGCCUCUGUUGGCAGUUGAUGGGGACAGAUACAAAGACCCACAGCCAAACAUUAGGCGGAGAAAGAGCCCAAAUUGGAGAUCUGCAUCGGAUCUCUCCCCUUGGAGCUCAGAGAACCCCAUGGAGGAGGUAGAGGAAGAACUGUGGGAGUCAGAGGGGCAGAGAAUAGACACCAGGAGGACACAGUUCACAGAAUCAACUAAGCAGUGCUCAUAGAGCCUCGUAGAGACUGAAGCAGCAGUCAGGGAGCCUGUGUGGGUCUGCAUAGGACCUCUGCAUAUAUGUGAUUGUUGUUAGCUUGGAAUCUUGUGGGACUCAUAGCAGUAGAAGUGGGGGUGUCUCUGGCUCUUUUGCCUGCUCUUGGGACUCUUUUCCUCCUACUGGAUUGCCUUGCCCAGGCUUGAAGUGCGAGGGUUUGUGUCCAGUCUCAUUGUACAUUGUUGUGCCAUGUUCAGUUGGUGUCCCUAGGAGGCCUGCUCUUUUCUGAAGGGAAACUUGAUGUGGGAUUCCCCUCUGUCCACUGUGAAUACCAAUGGUUCAUAAAGAAACCGCUUUGGACCUAUAACAAGGCAGAACUUAGCUAGGCAGGGAAAACUAAACUAAAUGCUGGAGGAAGAAGGCAGAGUUUAGAAGAAGCUAUGGAGCUGCUGCCAGAGACAGACAUGCUGAAACUUUGCUGGUAGGCCACGACCUCAUGGUGA